RNAcentral lists this ribosomal RNA (209 nucleotides) under uncultured bacterium. RNAcentral's name for it is "partial 16S ribosomal RNA". It matches the Rfam family "Bacterial small subunit ribosomal RNA", at positions 524 to 731 of the family's 1533-position model. The record is from RNAcentral.
UACGGAGGGUGCGAGCGUUGUCCGGAAUCACUGGGCGUAAAGGGCGCGUAGGUGGCGCGAGGAGUCUGUGGUGAAAGCCCGAGGCUCAACUUCGGGUCGGCCGCGGAUACUCUCGUGCUGGAGGGUGGUAGAGGCCAAGUGGAAUUCCGGGUGUAGCGGUGGAAUGCGUAGAGAUCCGGAAGAACACCGGUGGCGAAGGCGGUUGGACU